AGGAUCCGGGCCCCCUGGCUUCUGAGGUGUCCCCAGGGUCCUGAGUGUCUCUGGCUCCUGGAUGGGCCUUGGGAAUGGUUUGCUGAGUGGCUGAUUCAACAGGCCGUGGGGGCAGAACAGUCUGGAGCCACAUUGGUUCUGAUAGAAGAGCUGACUCGAAGCCAGGGAAUUUGAAAUUGCUGAAACCUAAAGCAGAAUGGAGACAGCAAGAUGUGAUGGGAAGGGGAAAAAUGCAUCCAAGAGGAAGAAAAGAUGUUCUUACCUCGAGUUAGAGAUCAAACUCGGGACCUUUCACAUGCAAGGCAGGCAGAGGAACCACUGAGCUAAAUCCCUG
Molecule: long non-coding RNA, 334 nt
Organism: Heterocephalus glaber (naked mole-rat)
Lineage: Eukaryota; Metazoa; Chordata; Mammalia; Rodentia; Bathyergidae
Source: RefSeq, a predicted model, not a curated record